This 515-nucleotide ribosomal RNA is filed under the name uncultured bacterium. RNAcentral's name for it is "partial 16S ribosomal RNA". It matches the Rfam family "Bacterial small subunit ribosomal RNA", at positions 28 to 523 of the family's 1533-position model. The record is from RNAcentral.
GAUGAACGCUGGCGGCGUGCCUAAUACAUGCAAGUCGAGCGAAUGGAUUAAGAGCUUGCUCUUAUGAAGUUAGCGGCGGACGGGUGAGUAACACGUGGGUAACCUGCCCAUAAGACUGGGAUAACUCCGGGAAACCGGGGCUAAUACCGGAUAACAUUUUGAACCGCAUGGUUCGAAAUUGAAAGGCGGCUUCGGCUGUCACUUAUGGAUGGACCCGCGUCGCAUUAGCUAGUUGGUGAGGUAACGGCUCACCAAGGCAACGCUGCGUAGCCGACCUGAGAGGGUGAACGGCAACACUGUGACUGAGACACGGCCCAGACUCCUACUGGAGGCAGCAGUAGGGAAUCUUCCGCAAUGGACGAAAGUCUGACGGAGCAACGCCGCGUGAGUGAUGAAGGCUUUCGGGUCGUAAAACUCUGUUGUUAGGGAAGAACAAGUGCUAGUUGAAUAAGCUGGCACCUUGACGGUACCUAACCAGAAAGCCACGGCUAACUACGUGCCAGCCGCCGCGGUAA